This 681-nucleotide ribosomal RNA is filed under the name uncultured organism. RNAcentral's name for it is "bacterial SSU rRNA". It matches the Rfam family "Bacterial small subunit ribosomal RNA", at positions 810 to 1510 of the family's 1533-position model. The record is from RNAcentral.
UGAAUGCCAGAUGUCGGGCAGCAUUCUCUUUGGUGUCACCUCUUAACGCUUAAGCAUUUCAGCUGGGGUAUUUCGCCCCAAGGUUAAUAAUCAAAGGAAAUGACGGGGGCCCGCACCAACUGUGGAGCAUGUUGGUUAAUUUGAAGCAACGGGCAGAACCUUACCAAUCCUUGACAUUCUGGUAGCGGGUAUCCGAGAGGGGUUCCUUCCAUUUGGGUGGACCAAUAACCGGUGCUGCAAGGAGGUUGUUAGAUCCUUUCGGGAGAAGUUUCGCUAAAUUCGGCAACGAGUCCAACCCUCACCCUUUGUUGCCAACCGUUCGGCCGGGCACUCUAGGGGAAUCGCCGGUGAUAAGCGGGGGGAAGGUGUGGAUGACGUCAAGUCCUCAUGGCCCCUAUGGGAUGGGCUACACACGUGUUACAAUGGCACAGACAGUGGGGUAAUCCCCAAAUACUGUAUCAGUUCGGCUAGUCGUAUUCAACUCGCCGGCAUGAAGUGGGAAUCGUUAGUAAUCGCGUAACAGCAUGACGCGGUGAAUACGUUCCCGGGCCUGGUACACCCCGCCCGUCACACCAUGGGAGUUGGGUUUACCCGAAGACGGUGCGCCUACUUCAGGGAGGCAGCUGUCCACGGUAGGCUCAGCGACUGGGGUGAAGUCGUAACAAGGUAACCAAGGGCGAA